CAGGCAUCCGUGCAUGUCCUGAGACACUCCACGGCCAUCUACCCAGGGUUCCAGUGCUCUGUGCAUGUCGGGAACGUGCGUCAGACGGCCAUUAUCGAGGGUAUAAUGUCUCCGAACAACGUGCUGAGGGCGGGCGAGGGGGCCUCCGUGCUGUUCAGGUUCGCCCGCUGUCCGGAGUACCUCGUGCGGGGCCGCCGGCUGCUGUUCACGGCGGGGCUGGGGACCAGAGCCAUCGGCCGGGUCACGCAAACCUUCCCGUACAUACCAUGAAUUCUAUAGAACACGGCUCCAAUGUAAAAUUCGAG
Nymphalis io (European peacock) is the source of this 305-nucleotide long non-coding RNA. RefSeq lists it as uncharacterized. The record is from RefSeq and is a predicted model, not a curated record. NCBI's taxonomy places the organism in Eukaryota, Metazoa, Arthropoda, Insecta, Lepidoptera, Nymphalidae. The transcript is spliced from 3 exons.